AUUGAACGCUGGCGGCACGCCUAACACAUGCAAGUCGAACGAGUGGCGGACGGGUGAGUAAUGCUUGGGAAACUGCCUGAUGGAGGGGGAUAACUACUGGAAACGGUAGCUAAUACCGCAUACCAUCGGAUGUGCCCAGGUGUGAUUAGCUAGUUGGUGGGGUAAAGGCUCACCUAGCCGACGAUCCCUAGCUGGUCUGAGAGUAUGAACAGCCACACUGGAAGUGAGACACGGUCCAGACUCCUACGGGAGGCAGCAGUGGGGAAUAUUGCGCAAUGGGGGCAAGCCUGAUGCAGCCAUGCCGCGUGUAUGAAGAAGGCCUUCGGGUUGUAAAGUCCUUUCGGCGGGGAGGCGUUACCCGCAGAAGAAGCACCGGCUAACUCCGUGCCAGCAGCCGCGGUAAUUC
This 406-nucleotide ribosomal RNA is filed under the name uncultured bacterium. RNAcentral's name for it is "partial 16S ribosomal RNA". It matches the Rfam family "Bacterial small subunit ribosomal RNA", at positions 30 to 526 of the family's 1533-position model. The record is from RNAcentral.